CUCCACCGCUUGUGUGAGCCCCCGUCAAUUCCUUUGAGUUUCAGCCUUGCGACCAUACUCCCCAGGCGGGGCACUUCACGGUUUCCCUUCGGCAGGGAGCCCAUCGGCGAGCCCCCUACCCAGUGCCCAUCGUUUACAGCUAGGACUACCGGGGUAUCUAAUCCCGUUCGCUACCCUAGCUUUCGCGUCUCAGCGUCAGAAAACGUCCAGGACCUCGCUUUCGCCACGGGCGUUCCUUCCGAUCUCAACGCAUUUCACCGCUCCACCGGAAGUUCCAGGUCCCCCUACGUCCCUCCAGACGGGGCGUUUCGGCGCCCUUCCCCGGUUGAGCCGGGGGAUUUCAGCUACCGACGUCCCCAUCCGCCUACACGCGCUUUAAGCCCAGUGAUUCCGAAUAACGUUCGCACGGUUCGUCUUACCGCGGCUGCUGGCACGAACUUAGCCCGUGCUUCCUCCAG
RNAcentral lists this ribosomal RNA (458 nucleotides) under uncultured Planctomycetota bacterium. RNAcentral describes it as "uncultured planctomycete partial 16S ribosomal RNA". The record is from RNAcentral. Lineage: Bacteria; Pseudomonadati; Planctomycetota.